Molecule: ribosomal RNA, 469 nt
Filed under: uncultured bacterium
Lineage: Bacteria
Description: bacterial SSU rRNA
Rfam family: Bacterial small subunit ribosomal RNA
Source: RNAcentral
CGCCAGACUCCUACGGGAGGCAGCAGUGAGGAAUAUUGGUCGAUGGGCGCGAGCCUGAACCAGCCAAGUCGCGUGAGGGAUGACGGCCCUACGGGUUGUAAACCUCUUUUGCCGGGGAGCAACGGGGUCCUUGCGAGGGCCCGAUGAGAGUACCCGGAGAAAAAGCAUCGGCUAACUCCGUGCCAGCAGCCGCGGUAAUACGGAGGAUGCGAGCGUUAUCCGGAUUUAUUGGGUGUAAAGGGAGCGUAGGCGGCGCGUUAAGUCUGAUGUGAAAACCCGAGGCUCAACCACGGGAGUGCAUUGGAAACUGGCGGGCUGGAGUGCCGGAGAGGUAAGCGGAAUUCCUAGUGUAGCGGUGAAAUGCGUAGAUAUUAGGAGGAACACCAGUGGCGAAGGCGGCUUACUGGACGGCAACUGACGCUGAGGCUCGAAAGCGUGGGGAGCAAACAGGAUUAGAUACCCCCGUACG